GCGGCGGUGGCUGAGUGGCUGAAAGCGAUUCCCCGCUAAGGAGUUGGCAGGUAUCCCCUGCCCGCAAGUUCAAAUCUUGCCCGCCGCG
Molecule: transfer RNA, 88 nt
Filed under: Siphoviridae sp. ct96x5
Lineage: Duplodnaviria; Heunggongvirae; Uroviricota; Caudoviricetes
Description: tRNA-Ser
Rfam family: tRNA
About the family: Transfer RNA (tRNA) molecules are approximately 80 nucleotides in length.
Source: RNAcentral